Molecule: ribosomal RNA, 429 nt
Filed under: Chloroflexota bacterium
Lineage: Bacteria; Bacillati; Chloroflexota
Description: Chloroflexi bacterium partial 16S ribosomal RNA
Rfam family: Bacterial small subunit ribosomal RNA
Source: RNAcentral
UGGGGAAUAUUGCACAAUGGGCGCAAGCCUGAUGCAGCCAUGCCGCGUGUGUGAAGAAGGCCUUCGGGUUGUAAAGCACUUUCAGCGGGGAGGAAGGCGGUGAGGUUAAUAACCUCACCGAUUGACGUUACCCGCAGAAGAAGCACCGGCUAACUCCGUGCCAGCAGCCGCGGUAAUACGGAGGGUGCAAGCGUUAAUCGGAAUUACUGGGGGUAAAGCGCACGCAGGCGGUUGAUUGAGUCAGAUGUGAAAUCCCCGGGCUUAACCCGGGAAUUGCAUCUGAUACUGGUCAGCUAGAGUCUUGUAGAGGGGGGUAGAAUUCCAUGUGUAGCGGUGAAAUGCGUAGAGAUGUGGAGGAAUACCGGUGGCGGAGGCGGCCCCCUGGACAAAGACUGACGCUCAGGUGCGAAAGCGUGGGGAGCAAACAGG